This 200-nucleotide ribosomal RNA is filed under the name uncultured bacterium. RNAcentral's name for it is "partial 16S ribosomal RNA". It matches the Rfam family "Bacterial small subunit ribosomal RNA", at positions 8 to 202 of the family's 1533-position model. The record is from RNAcentral.
AGAGUUUGAUCAUGGCUCAGGAUGAACGCUAGCGGCAGGCUUAAUACAUGCAAGUCGAACGGUAACAGGUGUAGCAAUACAUGCUGACGAGUGGCAGACGGGUGAGGAACACGUACGCAAUCUUCCUUUUACUGGGGCACAACCCGAAGAAAUUCAGGCUAAUUCCCCAUAACAUUGUUUGAGGGCAUCUGAUGACAAUU